AAGGUCUGCAAAAAUAUCAAGAAUGACAUUAACUUUUCCAAAAUAUAAUUCUUCAGUAAUACUACCCUUAUCCUUCAAAAAUAUGCAUAUUAUGCAAAGAAAUCAGCCUUCUGGAAAGAAAACCCUUUGUUUCAAAGUGUUGCUUCAGUGGUUAAAAAUCACAACCUAGCUGAUCAGGCGAGUUGCUGCUUCCCUGGGUAUUGAGCCUGCAACAGGAAGAGUUGUGCUACAAGAAUUGUGACCUCUGCAGUUUUAAAUCAGUCGGAUACAUGAACUUGUACUUUCUCACUUUACCUGAACAAAAUCAACAAAUCUGUGCACCACCCAUAACUCCCAAGAUGGCCUACGCCAGUAUUAAGACACAUGAAAUUACUGUCUCUGCAUUAUCGAUGUAAGCACCUGUCUUUGUUCAACAUUUAAGGAGGAAUGAGAACAUUUAUCAGCAGUUUGGAAAGCAGUUGUGGUUGGGAAUUUCUGUGCUUCUUUCAUACAAAGGUCACUGGCUCCAUCUAGUGACAGUGUUUUUCCCAUGUUCAGCCAGAAGAACCGUAUUUAGCACUUCAGUUUCUUUGGAAGGAUCUCCUUUUACAAAAGUUUGAGGACAAAAUACAAGCAUUCUAAAGUUAAAUCAAAAUUCAUUUCACUAUUACUCCACUGGAAGUAAAAAGUGACCAGUUAAUAGUGAUGGGCAAUAGCCAAACUCCUGUUCAAGAGGACUGAGUUUGAUGACAUUAAAAUGCUUCAGAAAACUUUUCUCCCUUUCUGACAGUUCAGUUUGCAUUUACUGAUCUGUUUUCCAGCAUGUCAUUUGGAAAUAAAUUGCACUGCUACUGACUAACUGCUCACAGCUUGAGACAGAGGCAGCUCUCACGCUCCACCUCCGGGGAUUUUUCCAACCAGUUCUCACAAAUUUCUAGAAUUUGCUGGGUUAUUUGGUCAGGCAGAGCGUGUUUUGCUUCAGCAAGCAGUGCUAAUGCUUGGCUGAUGCCAAAGAAAACCUCGGUGUAACAAUACAGAAAUAACUACUGAAGCAGCCAAGCUCCAGAACCUGGCAAUGAAAGGGCAGGGGUUUCUUUUUAGCAAAAAGAGUGAAAUGACAGUGAAAAUCCUGGAAAGUCAGGGCACUCUUUUAACACUCUCUUCAAGUAAAAUUUCAAAUUAGAUGGAAUUAAGGUUUUAUUCUGAUUACUUGCUUUGCUUCUAUUCUUAGGAGAGAAACUGGAAGGGCAAAGUCUGUAAUCACUGCUGCAAGAUAUGUGACAAUCCAGGAUGGCUCUUUCCCAGGUCACUGGUUGUCACAGAGGAGAGCCCUUUCUGGCUGUAGCCCCUCUUCUCCAUGAACUUGCUCCUGAGCAAGAUGAAUCUCGCACUCUAACAGCAUACAAGAGCUGUGAUGCACAAUCAAACAUCCCAAAUUCACAUCUGGUGAAUGUCAUCAGUUAUGGGAAGAUUGUGCUUGAAGCUGAGCAAGACUCACAGCUAAGACUCUCUACAGGAAAAGGAACAGCCAUUUUUCACCAAGUGCUCUGGGUGAAAAAGCACUGAAGAUGCAAAAGAAGGAAGAAAUAAUCAAAAUGCACAGCAUGGUUCCAAUUCUUAAAUUAAAACCAAGCUGGUAGGCUUAAAGUCACAAGCUAUAUUUGUUGCUUGAGUUCUUGGAUAUUGUAGUUCAACAGUUUCUCUUACUUGGCUUGACAACAGAGGAGCUUUGCAAAGACAUUAAAGCCUCAGUUCAACCACA
Non-coding RNA from Taeniopygia guttata (zebra finch), 1741 nucleotides. Lineage: Eukaryota; Metazoa; Chordata; Aves; Passeriformes; Estrildidae. The record is from RefSeq and is a predicted model, not a curated record.